GUGUCUGGUGGGUAGUUUGACUGGGGCGGUCUCCUCCUAAAGAGUAACGGAGGAGCACGAAGGUUGGCUAAUCCUGGUCGGACAUCAGGAGGUUAGUGCAAUGGCAUAAGCCAGCUUGACUGCGAGCGUGACGGCGCGAGCAGGUGCGAAAGCAGGUCAUAGUGAUCCGGUGGUUCUGAAUGGAAGGGCCAUCGCUCAACGGAUAAAAGGUACUCCGGGGAUAACAGGCUGAUACCGCCCAAGAGUUCAUAUCGACGGCGGUGUUUGGCACCUCGAUGUCGGCUCAUCACAUCCUGGGGCUGAAGUAGGUCCCAAGGGUAUGGCUGUUCGCCAUUUAAAGUGGUACGCGAGCUGGGUUUAGAACGUCGUGAGACAGUUCGGUCCCUAUCUGCCGUGGGCGCUGGAGAACUGAGGGGGGCUGCUCCUAGUACGAGAGGACCGGAGUGGACGCAUCACUGGUGUUCGGGUUGUCAUGCCAAUGGCACUGCCCGGUAGCUAAAUGCGGAAGAGAUAAGUGCUGAAAGCAUCUAAGCACGAAACUUGCCCCGAGAUGAGUUCUCCCUGAGACUACGAGUCUCCUGAAGGAACGUUGAAGACGACGACGUUGAUAGGCCGGGUGUGUAAGCGCAGCGAUGCGUUGAGCUAACCGGUACUAAUGAACCG
Molecule: ribosomal RNA, 663 nt
Filed under: Salmonella enterica
Lineage: Bacteria; Pseudomonadati; Pseudomonadota; Gammaproteobacteria; Enterobacterales; Enterobacteriaceae
Description: partial 23S ribosomal RNA
Rfam family: Bacterial large subunit ribosomal RNA
Source: RNAcentral